Vigna unguiculata (cowpea) is the source of this 2545-nucleotide RNA transcript. It is a transcript of the gene named cyclophilin71, with no coding region annotated. Lineage: Eukaryota; Viridiplantae; Streptophyta; Magnoliopsida; Fabales; Fabaceae. The record is from RefSeq and is a predicted model, not a curated record.
UCGGUCUUUUUUCACUCUUUCACUAGUGUUUCAACUCUUCCGAACAAGAUUUCGCUCCCUCACUUUGAAAUUUCUACAUUUAGAGAAAGAUACUAAGCUUUGUUGUUCUACCUCAUUCAAUUACAUCUAAGUACUGGUUUUGAAGAUGGAAGAACACGAGAAUGGUGCCAACGCUGGCGAAGAGGAACCGAUGAUAGGCCCGGGCCCGGCCCCUCGGGCUCGGCCCAAGCGACCCCUUCAGUUCGAGCAUGCCUACCUCAACGCUUUACCCUCCGCCAACAUGUACGAGAAAAGUUAUAUGCACCGUGACGUGGUUACGCAUGUCGCUGUCUCAGCUGCGGAUUUCUUCAUCACUGGAAGUUCCGAUGGGCAUUUGAAGUUUUGGAAGAAAAAGCCUAUUGGUAUUGAGUUUGCCAAACACUUCAGAUCUCAUCUUGGUCCAAUUGAAGGUCUAGCUGUUAGUCUUGAUGGUCUGCUCUGCUGCACAAUAUCAGAUGACCGCUCUGUAAAAAUAUACGAUGUAGUCAACUAUGACAUGAUGGUCAUGAUUCGUUUGCCAUAUACUCCUGGUGCUGUUGAAUGGGUUUACAAACAAGGGGAUGUCAAAGCCAGGCUUGCUAUUAGUGAUAGGAAUUCAUCUUUUGUGCACAUAUAUGAUGCACGAGCUGGUUCAAAUGAUCCCAUUGUCUCCAAAGAGAUACAUAUGUGUCCUAUCAAAGUUAUGAAGUACAACGCCGUAUAUGAUUCCGUACUUUCAGCAGAUGCGAAGGGGAUAAUUGAAUACUGGAGUCCUGUAACACUUCAAUUCCCAGAGGAUGAGGUCAAUUUUAAACUGAAAAGUGAUACUGACCUCUUUGAAAUUGCAAAAUGCAAGACUUCUGUUUCGGCUAUUGAGGUAAGUCCAGAUGGUAAACAAUUUUCCAUUACAUCACCUGAUCGAAGGAUACGUGUGUUUUGGUUCAGAACGGGGAAAUUAAGGCGAGUUUAUGAUGAAUCUUUAGAGGUUGCUCAAGAUCUCCAAAGAAGUGAUGCUCCAUUAUAUCGGUUGGAAGCUAUUGAUUUUGGUCGAAGAAUGGCUGUUGAGAAGGAAAUAGAAAAAACAGAAAGUGCACCACUUCCAAAUGCAGUCUUUGAUGAAAGUUCCAAUUUUCUUAUAUAUGCAACCUUGCUUGGGAUAAAAAUUGUUAAUCUGCACACCAAUAAAGUUAGUCGAAUACUUGGAAAGGUGGAGAAUAAUGAUAGGUUCUUAAGAAUAGCUUUAUAUCAAGGUGAUCGGAGUAGCAAAAGAGUAAGAAAGAUUCCUUCAGCAGCUGCAAAUGUUAAUGAGAGUAAGGAGCCUUUGACAGAUCCCACUCUCUUGUGUUGUGCCUUUAAAAAGCACAGAAUCUAUUUAUUCAGUCGAAGAGAGCCGGAGGAGCCUGAAGAUGCAACUAAAGGAAGAGAUGUGUUCAAUGAAAAACCUCCUGCUGAUGAACUUUUGGCAGUUUCAGACAUUGGAAAGUCAGUUACAACAUCACUUCCUGAGAAUGUGAUUCUACACACCACAAUGGGUGAUAUUCACAUGAAAUUAUACCCUGAGGAAUGUCCAAAAACUGUGGAGAAUUUCACAACACACUGCCGAAAUGGCUAUUAUGACAAUCUUAUUUUUCAUAGGGUCAUCAAAGGCUUCAUGAUUCAAACAGGAGAUCCUCUGGGAGAUGGCACUGGUGGGCAAUCUAUUUGGGGGAGAGAAUUUGAGGAUGAAUUUCAUAAAAGUUUGAGGCAUGAUAGACCGUUCACAGUUUCAAUGGCAAAUGCUGGCCCAAAUACAAAUGGCUCUCAGUUCUUUAUCACCACAGUGGCUACUCCAUGGUUGGACAACAAGCACACUGUAUUUGGUAGAGUUGCAAAGGGAAUGGAUGUUGUACAGGCCAUAGAGAAAGUGAAAACAGACAAGACAGACAAGCCAUAUCAAGAUGUUAAAAUUCUAAACGUCACUGUGCCGAAGUCUUGAAGGUCUUUGGUCUUUUUGGCUGGUGCAGUCAUCAGUCAUACAUUUACCGGUGGUACUUGGCCGAAGAAGAUUGAAAUAGAUAUCUUGAAGCUUCUUCCUUUAGCUUCAUAGAUUUCCUACGAACAGUAUGGGUUCAUGCUUACACUUCCGUUACAGGUUCCAUCUUCUUUUAUGUGACUAAUGGCUCAAGCUUACUGAUGCUGUCUUCUGUCCUCUGCUCUGCCAUUAUAAUGUGCUUUGCACGUCAAAGGAAUUAGGCUAAUAAUUUAACUCACGUAAAACAUGGACACCUCUGUUCCCAUCCAUCUUAAUUUGACCUGCAAUUUAUUAAAGCAGUCUGCAGCAAUCCUGGGGCUCUGGCGUACCUGUGUAUCUAAAACCUUAUAGUAAUUAUUUUUAAGCUAAAGCCUGUAAUAACAACUUAACAAGCCAGUGUUUAGACAAGGUGCAACGCAGUAAUUGUUGUUUGUGACAUCUUAGUGUUAUCGGUUAUGCUGCGUGCAUUAUUAGUGUUAAGAAUUUAAGUUAUGAAAGCACAAAAGCUUGGUGAUA